This 384-nucleotide ribosomal RNA is filed under the name uncultured Synechococcus sp. Its description in RNAcentral is "bacterial SSU rRNA". It matches the Rfam family "Bacterial small subunit ribosomal RNA", at positions 106 to 524 of the family's 1533-position model. Lineage: Bacteria; Bacillati; Cyanobacteriota; Cyanophyceae; Synechococcales; Synechococcaceae. The record is from RNAcentral.
AUGAGUAACGCGUGAGAAUCUGCCCUCAGGAGGGGGAUAACGACUGGAAACGGUCGCUAAUACCCCAUAUGCCGAGAGGUGAAAUGAAUUUCGCCUGAGGAUGAGCUCGCGUCUGAUUAGCUAGUUGGUGGGGUAAAGGCCUACCAAGGCGACGAUCAGUAGCUGGUCUGAGAGGAUGAUCAGCCACACUGGGACUGAGACACGGCCCAGACUCCUACGGGAGGCAGCAGUGGGGAAUUUUCCGCAAUGGGCGAAAGCCUGACGGAGCAACGCCGCGUGAGGGAUGAAGGCCUCUGGGCUGUAAACCUCUUUUCUCAAGGAAGAAGAUCUGACGGUACUUGAGGAAUAAGCCACGGCUAAUUCCGUGCCAGCAGCCGCGGUAAU